GAUGAACGCUGGCGGCGUGCCUAAUACAUGCAAGUAGAACGCUGAAGGAGGAGCUUGCUCUUCUGGAUGAGUUGCGAACGGGUGAGUAACGCGUAGGUAACCUGCCUGGUAGCGGGGGAUAACUAUUGGAAACGAUAGCUAAUACCGCAUAACAGUAGAUAUUGCAUGAUAUCUGCUUGAAAGGUGCAAUUGCAUCACUACCAGAUGGACCUGCGUUGUAUUAGCUAGUUGGUGAGGUAACGGCUCACCAAGGCGACGAUACAUAGCCGACCUGAGAGGGUGAUCGGCCACACUGGGACUGAGACACGGCCCAGACUCCUACGGGAGGCAGCAGUAGGGAAUCUUCGGCAAUGGACGGAAGUCUGACCGAGCAACGCCGCGUGAGUGAAGAAGGUUUUCGGAUCGUAAAGCUCCGUUGUAAGAGAAGAACGAGUGUGAGAGUGGAAAGUUCACACUGUGACGGUAUCUUACCAGAAAGGGACGGCUAACUACGUGC
This 496-nucleotide ribosomal RNA is filed under the name uncultured Streptococcus sp. RNAcentral's name for it is "bacterial SSU rRNA". It matches the Rfam family "Bacterial small subunit ribosomal RNA", at positions 28 to 508 of the family's 1533-position model. The record is from RNAcentral. Lineage: Bacteria; Bacillati; Bacillota; Bacilli; Lactobacillales; Streptococcaceae.